CUCUCUGAAUCUGCGAACGGCUCCGCAAACCAGUUGUAAACUAUGGCAGGGUUCCGUCCCGCGACUUCACUUGUGGGGUUGCGGGUUAAUAUAUGGAUAACCGUGGUAAUUCUGAGGCUAAUACAUGACGUACAAAACCUCGCUCUGGGCUUGCCCGGGGCGGGGGGGCGUGCGACUUAAGGCUGGGGUAACAUCCAUGACAGAACGCACGCUCGGACCACCGCUAAGGGUGAGGGGCUUCGGCUCGGAUCCUGGUGGCCCCCGCAAUGUGCUUCUGACCUAUCAACUAGACGGCAGCAUAAGGGACAUGCUAUGGUGACAACGGGUACAGAGGAUUAGGGUUCGAUCCUGGAGAGUGGGCCUGAGAGAUU
RNAcentral lists this ribosomal RNA (371 nucleotides) under uncultured myxomycete. RNAcentral describes it as "SSU rRNA". It matches the Rfam family "Eukaryotic small subunit ribosomal RNA", at positions 77 to 405 of the family's 1831-position model. The record is from RNAcentral. Lineage: Eukaryota; Evosea; Eumycetozoa.